RNAcentral lists this long non-coding RNA (2757 nucleotides) under Gossypium barbadense (sea-island cotton). RNAcentral describes it as "long non-coding RNA (GBAR_LNC008928)". Lineage: Eukaryota; Viridiplantae; Streptophyta; Magnoliopsida; Malvales; Malvaceae. The record is from RNAcentral.
AAUUUCAGGGGAAAAAUUAAAAAAACAAAAGAAAUCUAAAUGGGACUCAAUCAAUCAAUCAAAUAGCACCAAAACAAGGAGGGACCAAACGCACAAAUACCCCAUUCGGAAGCAAAACACGCGGACAAACUCCCCCCCCCCCCCAAAAUGCUGUUUCAUUUUAUUACCUAAAUUAAAACAUGUUUUAAAAUUUUUAUUUAAAAAGCAUUUUAACUUUUGCUUUAAAAAAAAAACCCUAAAUGCCUUGUAUGUUUUCUCAUCUCCCUCACUCUCCCUUUACUCUCCAGCCGAAAGGCUAGUGCCCAGGGCCUCCAUUCGUGACCAGCGAAGGCCCGCCGACGGUGCGAGCACGGUGCGACUCCGGUGACUCCCUUUCUCCCUAGUAUUUUGUGUUGGUAUUGUAAAUCUGAAUGAAAAUAAAAAACAUAAUAAAUAGCGAAAAAUCACCUUUGAAGUAUAUUUUUCGAUGGCUUUUUAUUGAUCUUUGUAUGUAUUUUAUAUACAAUUUCUCUGGAAAAAGAAAGAAAAAAACCCUCUAUAAUAAAAAAUUUUGAAGGCUUUAUAGCUAAAUACAAACAGUUGCUUGCUAUUCUAUCGCUCAAACUGCAGAUCGUGGAGGAGAGCGUCGUGGGGCGUGGUGCAUGUUGCACAUGGGCUAGGGGUCGUGCUUGAUAUGCCGACGUACGUGGUGGAGGGACGCUGAACGUAGAGGCUGCGAUGCAAGGCAAUAGCCUAGGGUUUUCCAUGUUUUUCUGACUUAGGCUAUUGGGCUUGUGCAAUUGAUUUUUUUUUGGGCCUAGUGUAAUUAAAAUAAUUUAAUGGAUUGUUUAAUUUUUUUUGUUUGAUUUUGGUUUCCCUAUGGGCCGAGCAAAAUUCGGGUUUUACAAUAAGCCUAUGCACUUGCUAUACCAUAGACAAAGUAUGUCAAAUAUAUUAUCUAUCGACAAUAAGUUAAUAAAAAAUUGUAAACAACCUACUGCUACUUGACAAUAUAUCCAAAAUAAAUAUAUACCAAAAGUUGCUAAUAUAGUCUAUGGACAAAAGAUUGCUAAUAUAUUCUAGAUUUUAUGAGACAAUGAAGCUACACACCCUGGAAGAAUAGAAGUCUAAGGAUGGUCAAUAAGUAUUACAUUCACUUGAUUGCUUAAGUACAUAAUCCCUUCCAAAUAUUUUGGCAAAGAAAAGAAGAAAUCUACCUUGUGUGAAUCUUUUGCUAAUAUAUUCCCCUAUAGAAAGCAUUUCAUCCUUGGAGAGGCCUUCAAUUUCUAUAAUUUAUGUGAAAAUCAUCAUUCUUUAUUCACCUUCCUUUGCCUCUUUUUUUGAAAAAAAAAGAAAUGUCAUUAAUCUCUUGUGCAACUUCUCGAUAAGCAACACCAAACUUACCUAUCUCCUCCAUAAGAUCAAAUAACCCAUUAAUUCUCCGAGGCCUUUUCUUACUAGUUACAACCUUCUUUACAAUAAUCACAAUAGCAAUUGUAGGUGCUUGACAAGCUGAAGCACCUAUUUCCUCUCUAGAUUCAAAAUAUUUGACUACCUCUUUUUCAACAUCAAAUACAUCUUCAAAUUUAUUAUCUUCAACAUCCAAAUCUUCCAUUGCAAUAGUUUUUAUCUCAACUGUAGCUCUUGUAGCUCUUUCUUUUCCAAAUAUUUAGACUAAGUCAUCAAAGAAUGGAAGUGGUUUAUUUCUCAAUCCAAUAGCAUGUGGAUGAAUCUACCCAAAAAAAAAACCUUGAAUUUUUUAAAUUGAUUUCAUAAUUAUAACUAAUUAUAGUAAAUAUAACGACAAAAUUUCUAGUAGUGUUAGAAACUAUGAUUAUGGGACCCUGUUUUCAUAAAUUGAGUUUGUAAAUGUUAAAUAGAGAUAUUUACAAAAAUAAUGUAUUGAUGAAUUAAAUUUUGGAUAAGUAAUUUUACAGAAUUAAUAGUUAAUUAAGGUAUAGGGACAAAAUUGUAAAAAGGUUAUCACUAUAGGUUUUUAAUUGGCCAAAGGCUUAAGGAAUUAUAUAACAAUUAAACCAAGGUCUAAAAUGGCAAAUAUACCAUCUUAGAAACAUUAGUGGAUGGUAAGUGAAUAACUUAUAUAUAUUAUAAAUAUUAUAAUUAAAUUAUUUACAUUAUAAAAUGUAUAAAAUAAAACUAAUAUAGUGGAAAGAAAGAGAAAUCAUCUCUUUUCUUCAUCCAUGCACGAAAGAAGAAGAAAGAAUUCAGCCUUAAGGGCUGCUAGUUUCAACAAAAAAUUGGUAUGUGUAAUUUAGUCAUUUUCUUGUGAUUUUUAUGUUUUUGAGUGUCAUGAGAGCUUGAUCUAGCUAGCCCAUAUAUCAAUUUGUAAAAUUGUUAAAGUUUUAGAUAGUUUGCAUCAAUUAUUUCUUGAAUUUUUGGGUGUUAAAUUAUAGAUUUUAAGCUUAGUUUUGAAAAAGGACUAAAUUGUAAAGCUAAUUGAUAGUUUUGUGCAUUAGGGAACAAACUAAAUAAAAUGUAAAAUUUGAACGUAGGAAUAAGAAAUAGAAGGUCCUAAUUAAUAAUAAUGAAAUCAGAGUUUAAUUUGGAGUUUUAAAUUGAAAUUUAUGCUAGUCUCGAUUUUAGGGACUAAAUUGAAUAGAUUGUAAAAUAUGUGUGACUUUGUAAUUGAUUGUGAUUUAAACUGAAUUUUGAUAUUAUGUAUUUUCAUAUUCUAAUUCAUAGCUAAAGGCGACGCAGGAACGUCGAGGGGAAAAGGAAAGACGAGAUCUGAUAACGAGUAACCCAAGUGUUUGAUUU